GGAGCUGAGAUUUUAUUCCAAGGAUAAAGGAGAGCCAUUGAACAGGAUUAAAUGUUCUAGCAAGGAAACAUGAAGCUGGUCCAACGUGCUGCUGGGAUGGCUCCUUGAAGCUUGAACAUGAUGACCUUCAGCAAAGGAGGUGGAGAUGUACAGAGGAGGAGGCUUGAACACUCUGAUCUGUUUGGAACUUAAUUUCCUUACUCAUGAAAUUAAUAUAAUAAGGCUAAGUUGGUCAGUAGUUAAACUAACUAAAUUUGGCUGAAGAUUGCUAUGUUCACUAUGCAAAGAUUAGGCCGUUAGUUCCCUGAGUGAAGAGAUGCUAUCUUGGUAUCUCCAGCUUCCAACCGGGGGCUUGGCACAGAAUAGGGGCUUGGUAAAUGUUUUCCAAAUGAAUGGGAUGUCUGAUGGAAAGAAGACAAGGUGAAGGAAUUCCUGGGUAAUAUGGAGAUGAGAAUCUGUGAGAAGGGUACAUGUACUGAUGCCUGUCGCGGUGGACACACAGACGCACACAUUGCGGAACACCACCAGAAACCAUAAAAGGUAAGAAGACAGUGAAGCAACGUAAUUAAAGGACACAGAGAAACGAACGGCCAAGCCCGAAUUCUACAUCCAGCAAAGGAAAAGAUUUUUUAUAAAUAAGAAUAUUGAGAAUAUCGAGAACACUUCAAUAUUCCAAACUUCAAUGGAAAUAUACGAACUGGAGUACACUCUUCUUCUGCCCUUGGACAUCAGGCUCUCUGGCCUUUGGACUCCAGGACUUAUACCAGCGCCCCUCUGGGUUCUCAGGCCUCUG
This 793-nucleotide long non-coding RNA is filed under the name Homo sapiens (human). Its description in RNAcentral is "HSALNT0150128". The record is from RNAcentral. Lineage: Eukaryota; Metazoa; Chordata; Mammalia; Primates; Hominidae.